UUAUAUAUCAUAAUUUUGACUCAUAUUACAAAUUCAUAUUUUUAGCUGCUCAUAAAAAUCUCAAUUAUCAAGUUAGUGUCAUGAAACCUAGACAAUUAGGUUAAGUAAAUGAUUCUUAUUUACCAUUACUAACAUCCAUAUUUGUCAUUUAAGCUGAUACUUCAUAAACACUAUAAAACAUGUUUUUUAUAUGAUAAUAUUGACUGAUAUUACAAAUUCAUACUUUGAACUGCCUGUAAAACACUGUAUUCUCAACUUAUUCUCCAACGGUUAUACGUUAUUAACUUACUACAUUUUUUUCAGAUGGCAGUAUAUCAGAUCAAUCAAGGCAUGCUGAGACACGAAUUCACAUUUCUACCACUAAGGAGAGUAUCAACAUCCUAGGUUGAAAAUGGACUAGAAGAUACUGAUAAUAAUAUUGGAUUUAUGCAAUGAUGGCAGUACAGCAGAUCAUUCAAUACAUGCCGAGACAUGAAUUCACAUUUCUACCACUAUGCUAAAUAUCAAUAUCCUACGUUGAAAAUGUACUAGACGAUACUGCUAAUAACAAGGGUUUUGUGCAACGUGCGUGUAAUGGAUGGCAGUACAGCAGAUCACUCAAUACAUGCUGAGACAUGAAUUCACAUUUCUACCACUAUGCAAAACAUCAACAUCCUACGUUGAAAAUGGACUAGACAGUACUGCUAAUAAUAAUGGUUUUGUGCAACGUGCGUGUAAUGGAUGGCAGUACUGCAGAUCACUGGAGGCAUGCUGAGACAUGAAUUAACAUUUCUAUCACUUGGGAAAGUUACAACAUUUUCCGUUGAAAAUGGAAUAGAAG
Molecule: long non-coding RNA, 820 nt
Organism: Rhopalosiphum padi (bird cherry-oat aphid)
Lineage: Eukaryota; Metazoa; Arthropoda; Insecta; Hemiptera; Aphididae
Exons: 4
Source: RefSeq, a predicted model, not a curated record